GAUCAUGGCUCAGGACGAACGCUGGCGGCGUGCUUAACACAUGCAAGUCGAACGAGAAUCUACUGAAAGAGUUUUCGGACAAUGGAUGUAGAGGAAAGUGGCGGACGGGUGAGUAACGCGUGAGGAACCUGCCUUGAAGAGGGGGACAACAGUUGGAAACGACUGCUAAUACCGCAUGACGCAUAGGGGUCGCAUGAUCUUUAUGCCAAAGAUUUAUCACUUCAAGAUGGCCUCGCG
RNAcentral lists this ribosomal RNA (237 nucleotides) under uncultured bacterium. RNAcentral's name for it is "partial 16S ribosomal RNA". It matches the Rfam family "Bacterial small subunit ribosomal RNA", at positions 15 to 235 of the family's 1533-position model. The record is from RNAcentral.